Molecule: long non-coding RNA, 237 nt
Filed under: Hordeum vulgare
Lineage: Eukaryota; Viridiplantae; Streptophyta; Magnoliopsida; Poales; Poaceae
Description: long non-coding RNA (HVUL_LNC016242)
Source: RNAcentral
GAUCCCCAUGCCGACCUCGCUCCCCCCUCGAGGCCUCGACUCCUCCUUGACCCUUCGGGGGCUUUGAUUGGACUGGAAGCCUUCCUCCCUCCCCUUGCUUUGAGGGCUGUGCUACUGCUGCCGGUUGCUGUUCCUUCCCUCUUCGUUUCCUCGCCUCGGUUUCUUCCGCCGUGUCGGCACGCACGUCUCGUGCGCUUCCACCGCGGUGUACCGUACCGGCCAAAGGUAGCACCAGCC